Penaeus monodon (black tiger shrimp) is the source of this 580-nucleotide long non-coding RNA. RefSeq lists it as uncharacterized. The record is from RefSeq and is a predicted model, not a curated record. NCBI's taxonomy places the organism in Eukaryota, Metazoa, Arthropoda, Malacostraca, Decapoda, Penaeidae. The transcript is spliced from 3 exons.
CGGUGUCGCUGCUUCCACUGAUUAGCUUGGCCAGGUCCACCACCCACAGGUCCACCACGGGGUUGAAGCGACCAGGCUGCGCGAAGAAGGUAUUUUCGAGCCCCAUUGUUCACUCCGCCCUUGUCCGCAAGGCCUAUAAAGAGGCGCGGAGAGCAGCAUGACGUCACAACCCCCACAGAUGACAAGCACGAACGGCGUUGUCCAACACUUACAUAUGCCAGAGUUGACAUGCACAGAAACGCACACACUCCGACUUUCACACCUAAGCAAGCACGUUCACUCCAGGCAAGUAAGCACGCCAGACCCACUCCGGGCUUAAUCGAGCUACAAGCACACGAUCGCAUGUUGAGAACCUAGAAGCUCAGACGAAUUUUGAGGACGCAGUGAAAGAGUAUCUUAAUACUCUCUCUCACUGUCAGGAUCACGAUCGUCACUCCUUCACAUGCUCGCGAUCCACCCACGGAGGACCUAAGGCAACACACCAGAAAAUAUAGGCCUAAAGCCCUUUGUUCAGAGCAAAUCCUGGCGACCUCCCUUCUCUUCCCCAUGCGAAAAAUAAAUAAAUAUAUAAAUCCAAACC